This 2386-nucleotide long non-coding RNA is filed under the name Sus scrofa (pig). Its description in RNAcentral is "lncRNA (ENSSSCG00015004164.1)". The record is from RNAcentral. Lineage: Eukaryota; Metazoa; Chordata; Mammalia; Artiodactyla; Suidae.
GGUCAGCGGUCGCCGUUCGCAGCCCCUUAUUUGAGCCUCGAGGCGCCCCCGGGGCGGCGCGAUCUGCAGGGCAGGAGUGUACGGCCAACAGGGAUAAGGUAAGCCCAGGUUGGACCAGGUAAGCGAUCCGAGUCUGGCGCGGGCUGACCGAGAGUACGGCAGUACAACACAGGUAUAGCUGCGGUCGUUCAGACUUAAGUAUGCGGAAGGUACAGUCUGGGGUGCAUCGAGUGAAUCAAGUGCACAAAGGUUGGUCCACACACCACGGGAGGCAGAGCCAUGGUUAUAAAGACAGGUACACCCAGGCGGGCACCUUUCUCAUUGAGACAGGAAGACUCAACAGGUAACCGUGACUGGAGCAGGUACACAGAAGUGGGGCCCCACCCAGGGCCAAGUACAUUUUUUUUUUUUUUUUUCUGAAAUAAGGACCUUGCUGGGAUAGAAAGGCAGCACCAGGAGCUCCAGUUCCAUGGCACCAGGUGCCACCUAUGUCACUUUUGAAAUCACCAGUGACCCCACCUAGCUAACUCCCUGCUUUGUUGCCUGGUCAUCUUUAAAGACCCCGAAGGAUCUCCACGUCAGUGCCCCCCAGGCACAGCAACCCCAGGAGCUGGCCUCCAGGAGAGAGAGAAAACAAGCCUUCCCCCAGAUCACAUCCAGGGCUGGGCUCCUCUCUGUGCUCCCCACCACUCCUGCUGAGCACUGUGUGUGCCAGUAGCCUUAAUCUUCACACAAGGGCCACUUUUAGAGUUGAGAAAAGUUCAGUGAAAAGUGCUGUAUAUUUAGACAUGUGCUCAUGUGUAGUAACUCCCUUUAAGAUAGUAAGAAUAUUAAAUGAGUCCAGAUUAAUCAGCAUAAUGAUGAUAGUCAACCACAGCGAUAAUGCCUCGCAUUUAUGGAGGACUCACUGGGCGGCAGGCACGGUGCCAACGCCUUGCAGACACUUCCGUGCCUUUGCAUCUCUCCUCCUCGGCCCAGGAGUGCUCUCCCCUUCUUCCCUGGCUACAGCUGCCUGGCCAAUUCUGUUCCUCUUUUGGAUGAUGUCACCUCCUCUGUGAGGCCUGCCCAGACUCCUUUGGUGCUGAGUUGCUUCCUCCUUAGUGCUCCCACAGCACCCUGCCUGUGUCCCUACGUGCUGGAUUGUGAUUGCCUGCUUGGACCGCCUCCGGGGCCAGGGCCGGGCUGGGACUCCGCCUGUAAUCCCUGGCCCCGUGCUACCCAGCACUGUGCCAGUGGGAGCCAGCAGGGCUGGGGGAUGAGUCACGCAGCUCCGUGUCCUCCCAGAGUGAGCUGCAGUCUCGCUCUCUUCCGGCUUGUAAAGGCAGCUCUUUCCCGAGAAGCUGACUCUCUUCUGCAGAACGCAGGGCUGCUCUGGGGAAACCCUCCUCCACUUACCCCUGGAUUUUGCACACCCCGGCCCCAAACCCCAGGAGACCUCUGGAUCAAAUGUGCCGAGCCCACACCCCUUCCUCUGCCUCUUGCAUGCCGGUCCCAGUGGCUUGGCUUGCCAGCUUCCUUCCUGGAGCCUUCCUGCUCUCCUGCCAUCUGCCUUCACCUGGCCAGCCUGGGCGGGGUCUGCAGAGUUCCAGGAAUGGUCACCCACUAGAUGGGCGAUGGGGAGAGGUUGGAGAGGGAAAGGUCCCAGGAAUUACUUUGCCCUUUGGUAACUCCACUGGGAAGCUCAGAUGGGAGCACACAGGAGCUAGGUCACCUCUGUAGGAAGAGUGGGCAGACUGCCCCCGAGCCUUAGCAGAGUGGUUUUGCAGAGGUUCAGUUCCACAAGGUCUCUUGGAAAUGGAGAAAGGGACAGAUUCCUUUCAUGUUUUGAGCUCCUAGUAUGUUUUACAUUUUAUUUUAUUUUUCUAUUCUAUUCAUUUUCUUUUUUCUUUACUUUUCUUUUCUUUUCUGUGCCCAUGGCAUACAUUUGGGCCAGGGAUCAAACCUAUGUCACAGUAGUGACAACACCGGAUCCUUAAACACUAGGCUACCAGGGAACUCCAGCUUCCAGUAUAUUUUAAAAAGACUUGUCACAGUAGAGCUACAAAAAUUGAAGUGUGGGAGUUCCCUGGUGACACAACAAGUUAAGGAUCCAGCGUUGUCACUGAAGUAGCUUGGGUCACUGCUGUGGCUUGGGUUCAGUCCCUGGCCCGGGAACUUCCACACACCACAGGUGUGGCCAGAAAAAAUUGAAUUGUGUUUUAAAAUUUAAUCGAGUUUUCACUGUGGUGCAGCAGAUUAAGGAUCCAGUGUUGUCUCUGUGGUGGUACAGGUUCAAUCCCCAGUCUGGAGCAGUGGGUUAAGGAUCCAUUGUUGCCCCAGCUGUGGCAUAGGGCCCAUCUGUGGCUUGGAUUUGCUCCCUGGCCAGGGAACUUCCAUAUGCUGUGGG